GUGAGUCAGUGUUUGGCCGGGCCAGGCCCUAGCCGCUUCCCAUCAGGGCGGGCGGGGCUGCGGCUCCCUCCGGCCAGGGGUGAGGGCCUGAGUCAGCGAGUCAGGUAACUGGAGGAGCAUGCGGGGCUUUCCCACCUGCACCCCAGGGCCGCUGAGCAGGCUGGGCCGCCUCCCACAGUGGAGAAGCCUCUGCACCCGGGACAGCUCAGGCGCUGCCUGCCUCCACGGCCAACCCCGGGCCCCCAGUCCCGAGAGACACGGAGAGCCUCUCCUCUGCCUGAAACACAUCGGGGGCCCAGAACCCUAGCCAAGGGCCUUUCCUGGGGGAAGACAAGAGCUGUGAAUCCAACGAGACCUGGGAAGCCAGGGAAAGCCUUCCUGAACAGGGCACACUUGAACCAAGGCCCGAAGGAGGGCCGGCCCGCAGACUCCUAUGUAGCAACGCAACCCCAUGACAUCAGGACUCUCAGGAACCGCACCGCACAGAAAGAGAAAGUAAGUUAUUCAUUCCUACCGGUGGGAAGUAACCAGAAUGUUGCUCACAGCGAUGGUGUUAAUUCCAGCUGGACUCCGAGGCCUGCUCAGGGCUCCGGACCGAGGCCCGCUCCGCCUUGUAACAGGAGGAACGUUCUGGAACUUCUGGGGACGGAAGUGGAGCAUCAGCCAGAGCCCUCCUCAGCCUGCGGCCCGGGAACAUGCUUAGAAGAUGACAAUUGGGCUCCCUUGGGCCGAAAUUCCACUCCCGUGGGGGCCUUGCCAAGGAAAACAAGCCCAAGAAGCAGGCAUUAAAGGUGAGCAUAUUUGACGAGUUUUAAGAUGACAAAUUAUUUACACAGGUGUGAGAACCAUCCCCUCGUGGCGGCUUUCUUCCUUUCUCUUCCUCCCCUUUCCAAAUUCUUUCCCCCAAGGGCGCUGACAGACGUGCCAAGGGAGGGGGCGGCUGGCGGUGAGGACCUGCCCACAGUGAGUCCUUAAAGCCCGGGCCCCAGGGGAGGAGGCGGAGCCGCAGGACAGCGGGUCGCACCAGGGGGCUCUGGUCACCCCUCCUCUACCUGCUUGCUCCCCACCCUGUCGCCUGGGGAGGCACGAGCCUGAGGUCCGGGCAUUUCAAGGCUCCCUGAGUCCUUCAGGAGGAUGGUGCCCAGGCCACCCCCCGGGAAAGCAGUUCCCAGGGUCACACAGCCAGCUCAUGCUCAACUUGGAGCUAACGAGGAGAGAGGUGGGGAAAGCAAUUGUUCUCGAGCACCUACUGUGUGCCUGACACUGAGCGGAGCCCUGGGAAUACACUGUGAAUGGAACAGCCCCAAACCCCUGCCUGGAGCCGACAAGGAAACAGGCCAGGUAAAUAAUGAGUUAUGUUCACAAGCGCUUCAUGAAAAUAAAACAGGGGGAGGGGGGCACUGUAGGUUGAGGAGGUGAUACGUGAGCCAAGAAAGAUGAGAAGGAGCCAGCCUUGGGGAGAUGUGAAGGAAGGACACGCCAGGCCGAGGGCACUUCACAUGCAAAGGCCCUGAGGUGGGAAGUGGGUCGUGUGUUCAAGGAACAGCAAGGAAGCUGGCAUGGCCAGAGCACGGGGAGGGAGAGGACAUAUGUCAGAGGUAAGCUGGGUGCUUUUCGCUCCAGACAAACCCAAGAAGUGGAUCUGAUCAUCCUUGUUUUACCAAGGAGGAAACUGAGGCACAGAGAAGGGCAGGGACUUGCCCAGGGUCACACAGCAGAAGCAGAUCCCAGUCUCUUCCAUCUGGCUCCCAAGCCCGUGCUCCUGUGCUUCUGAGAGGUGAGGGGGCAGGAACGAGGGGUGUCCAGGACCUGCCAGCUCCCCCGCCUGCAGCUCUGCCCUCAGGGUGCGGGGCAUCUGGGGGCCGGCCCUCUGCUUCCUGUGGGAAGAAAGCGGAGGCUGAUUUAGCUGCUGAGUCAUGGGGUACGACAGGCUUCCAGGCCACGGAGGGCUCUGCCUCAGUUUACCCACCUUGAAAAUGGGUUUAAUAACACGUCUGCCCGCAGUGCCGACUUCAGAGGGAGCCGGGAAGGUUAAUUACCGCCGGCAGCUCCGGAACCUGAUGAAAGCGGGGAGGUGGGCGUAGUGACCGCGCGGGUCAUGACUCCCAGCGAGCGGAGGCUGGAGAGGGGUCGCACCCGCUUCUGAUGCAACCCCAGGCCCGCUGCUUUCCGGAGGUGGGGGCCCAACAUGCCGUAAACAUCUGCGUUUGACCGCCGUCCCGGCCCCCAGACCCCCGCACCCGGGGCCCUGCGAGCCGCCCGGGCUCCAGUCGCAUCUCUGCCACUCCCCUGCCGGACGCCUGGGCCGCGCUCCUCCCCUCUCGGGCCUCAGUUUCUCCGUCUGCGCAGUGGGGCUGAGAGCCUGGCCCGUCCACAGGGCGGGCUGCGGUCAUUGCUCACACUCACGCAGGCGCUGUGCAGCGCCCCCAUUUCACCUCCUCAGCUGCCUGGUUUGAGGGCAAAAAGGGCACGUCGAGCCACAGCCGCCCACGCCAUCAGCCGCCCCGGCCUCCUUGCCCUGCUGGGAAAUGGGGCAGGACUUUGCUAGAAAUAAAUAAACGGGGUUUAAAACACCCCUGGGGCUAUUGAUUGGCCUCUUGUCAGCCCCCAUUGGCCCCCAGCACCGGGCUCCAACGCCCCUGCCCCUGGAAGCCCCGACCCUCCGCCCCCGGUCCUGGGUCGGGAUCUAGGCCCACCCCCGCCCCCGCGCACGCGCACACCGCGUCCUGGCUCUUGAUCCCGCUGUGCACGCGCAGCUGGUCCCCGGGGAUGCCUGGAUGCUUCUCCUCUUGCAGGGUCGGCUCAGCGCGGGACAGGUUCUGGGGCCGGAGCCCCUCCUCCCCGCUCUGACCCCUCCGCGAGGCAGCCGCGUGCCCGCCUCACAGGUGGGGACACUGAGGCUCUGAGCUGCAGACGCCAGAGCCCGGGGCCUGCAGGAGGCGGAGGCCCACGUGGGGUCUGACCCGGGCCCCUGGGCUCACCGGCGCCUCGGGGCCGGGCCCUCCGCGACGACGCCGGGAGCAGGUGCAGGUCAGGUCCAGGCCGGCUGCUGGCGGGCAGAGCGGGGUGCGGGGCUGGCGCGGGCUGGGGGCUGGUGCCCGCCCUCCGAGCCCCCCGAGCCCCCUGAGCCCCCUGCCCCGCACCCCCGCCGCGCUGGCCGGGCCGACCCCGAACCCGCCCCGGCUCCCCGCGCCCCGCCUCUGCGCCCGUGGUGCCCCACACCCUGCCCGCUGGCGUCGUCUCUUGGUUGAGGUCUCUGUUCUAAUGUCGCCUCCUCAGCGGCCCUCCCAGGCUCCCUCGGUCACACUCUCUGCUGUAUUCCCCUCGGAGCCCCCAUAACUCUGAAACGACCUCACAUUCCCCGCUCCACGGACACGGACCCGAGUCCUGAGAACAGAGGGGUUUCUGUUUUGUUGGCUGUCACAUCUCCAGGACCAGGUAGAGCCCCCGAACACAGUGGUGCUCAAUAAUUGUUUGUUGAUGUAAUAAAAAAGUCUUUAAAAGAUAAGAAUAACUGUAUGCUGAGGGGAGGGGUGGACAUCCCAGGGGACGGAUGUGUCACCGAAGGACUGAAGAACUUCCCCAGGUCUUAGUGUGGUCAGUGGCAUCGACGUGACAAUGGCAAUACUGGUUGCGGGCACUGGCUGUGCUGGGCGCCGUUGGCACACCGGCUCGCUCAGUCCUCGCAGAGGCCCCGUGAGGUCAGUCCCAUGCUGACCCGCAUUCUCCAGAUGAGGAAAGUGUGCUUUAGAGAGGUGAAGGGACUUGCUCCCGGUCAGCAGAGGCCACCAUGCCCUGCCCCCUGACCUCCAGAGCUUCAAGGUCCCCAAAAGAUGACACCGCCCCUGAUUCCCAGUGCAGCCCAGAGAGGUGGUGUGUCCUGCCUGAUGCCCCCAAGCUGGUCAGCCGCCCGGCGUGCGGCUGGCUGGCUCCCUGGCAGUCGCUCAGCGCGUCAGGAGGGCGGGCAGCCUGGCGGUUGGCCUGUCCUGGGACGCGGGCAGCCAGCAGUUUCUCUCCCCGGACUUUACUGUACAUGAUUCAGCGCCAGCCCCAGUUGUGAAAUCUGGGAAUCUUGUGGGCAAGGCCAGGCCCGGGGGAUGGCUGUCUGGGAAAGGGAGGCCGGGAAGGGGUUAAGGGGGGCGGCGGGCCCCCCUGGGGAGGCGCUGGGCCAGGCCAGCCGAGAGCACACCAGUAGCACCGGCCGGCCACCGCCUGCGGCCUGACUCUGACAUCACAGCUGCGUCAGUCCGGCCGGCCCCAGCCCCCCACUUCCUUCCCUCCCGCAGCCCGCGUCCCCAGCCACCUCCCCAGCCUCACUGUCCGCUCCUAAGAAACGGCAGCCUCAGUCUUCCCCGGGAGGGAGGGGUGGACCGGGAGAGGGCGAUGACACACGUUGCUGUGCAUACAGGAGGCGCUUAAGUGAGAGCAGUGAUGGAUUUGAGCCAAACUCCAGUCCUCUCAAGUGGAAUGAGCCGCACAUGAGCCAGGUCACAGAGGGGAAACAAGAAGGCGUUCCUGGCAGAGGGAACAGCAUGGGCAGGGGAGAGACAGCUCACGGAGCAGCGAGAGAGAAUAUCUAGGGGGCUGGGGUGGAGAGAGGGAGGGGCUGGGGUGAGGGCAUGGGGACCUUGAAUGUCAUGCCAGGGAGUCCGGGCUUUGUCCAGGGGCAUAGGGGGGACGUGAAGGCUUUAGAGCAGGCCGGAGAGGGUCACUGACACGGGCCAACUGCUGCAGUCCCCUCCCGCUGUCUUGUCUGCUUCCGUCCCAGCCUCCACAGCCCCUUCUCCACUCACAGCCAGAGGGAUCCUGUGAAAACCCAAGUCCGACCGAGU
RNAcentral lists this long non-coding RNA (4832 nucleotides) under Equus caballus (horse). RNAcentral's name for it is "lncRNA (ENSECAG00000042777.2)". The record is from RNAcentral. Lineage: Eukaryota; Metazoa; Chordata; Mammalia; Perissodactyla; Equidae.